GACGAACGCUGGCGGCGUGCUUAACACAUGCAAGUCGAACGGAAAGGCCCUGCUUUUGUGGGGUGCUCGAGUGGCGAACGGGUGAGUAACACGUGAGUAACCUGCCCUUGACUUUGGGAUAACUUCAGGAAACUGGGGCUAAUACCGGAUAGGAGCUCCUGCUGCAUGGUGGGGGUUGGAAAGUUUCGGCGGUUGGGGAUGGACUCGCGGCUUAUCAGCUUGUUGGUGGGGUAGUGGCUUACCAAGGCUUUGACGGGUAGCCGGCCGGAGAGGGUGACCGGCCAGAUUGAGAGUGAGUGACGGCGGGGGCACGUGCGGAGGGGAGGAGGGGGGUGGGAGGAGAAGGGGCGGAAGGCGAGUGCGGCCAAGCGGUGUGGGGGGUGGGAGGAAGCGGGUAGUAGACCAAUUGCGCCUGUGACGAGAGGAGAAGGAGAGGAAUGGGUAAAGAAGGAGAGGCUAACUACGUG
This 467-nucleotide ribosomal RNA is filed under the name uncultured bacterium. Its description in RNAcentral is "partial 16S ribosomal RNA". The stretch from base 20 to 332 matches the Rfam family "Bacterial small subunit ribosomal RNA", at positions 47 to 358 of the family's 1533-position model. The record is from RNAcentral.